Molecule: long non-coding RNA, 1146 nt
Organism: Brassica napus (rape)
Lineage: Eukaryota; Viridiplantae; Streptophyta; Magnoliopsida; Brassicales; Brassicaceae
Exons: 2
Source: RefSeq, a predicted model, not a curated record
UAGCAUGUCCACGUCACCAAAAAUAAUCAGCCAAUCACAACAUUUCAUCUGGACACGUCACAUAGGCUGAAUCACAUUCUGUUACGUUUGGGCCUUUGGUGAGUAUUUUUUUUAUGGGUUUCGUUAUCAAGUACUCUCUCAUGCGAUUAAAUUACAAUUACGGAUUGUAUGUUUUUGUUGGGCUUUCUACAAGGGAUGGCUGGCCCAGUGCCAUGUGUAAUCAAGCUUCUUUGUUUUCAAAGCCGCAUUCUAUGAAACCUAAUUUCAUCUUCUCUAUCGUAAAACAAAACUGAGCAACGGAAUCACCAUGAUUUAUGUUGCAGCCAUAAACUCGACAUUUAAUCUCAAACGGCGAGAACGAUGGCUGCUUCCCAGAUCUCCCUUUCCGAGUUGAGGCCAGGUCGUUGUGCUCGGGUCGUUGUGACAGGCCUACUCAGAUUUUGAGAAGCUAUGAAUGUUAAGAAAAGUGGUCAACUAAUGGGUGUCGAUAUGUUUCUCUUGGAUGAUCAGAUAAGUUUAGAAGUUUUUUGUAUUACGUCUUUGUUGUCAUGCCCUCGGAUUCUAGGUUCUGAUUACAAAUAUCCUUAUUUUGCAGUCUUCUCUCAUCCAAGCAUUUGUAUCUGUUCAUCGGCUGAACACUUUCCGAGAACUUCGGGAAGGAGCUAUAUAUGAGCUUAGUGGAUUUGAUGUGACUAAAAGCAACAAUUGUUUCAAGCUUUGUGAUUCUGUUGUGGCUAUCUCGUUAAACAAGUUUACAAAGAUGGUUGAAGUGCCUGCAGUUGCUAAUCCGAUCCCUACUGAGAUGUUCAGGUUCCGAUCUGCUGAGCAACUCAUGUCGUUAGGUAAUACUAACGUUGAGCUUCCAGGUAUGUCUUCAUCUCUACUCCAUCCGACGUCCCACCAGUUUCACCUGAAAGGAAUCCACCGAAGAAGGAUCGAAAUGCAUAGACUUUGAAAAAGCAUAUAUGACGAACUAAGCCAAUGUGUUGACAUACGUUUUGUCUUUUGUUCCUCAGUUUAUGUUGGUACAGUUGGUCCACUAUCUAAUUUAUAAUUUUGUCGUAGAUGUUUUUGUUUCUAUUUGCUUGACAUUGGAAGUUUUUAAUUUUACUCUUUCCUUAUUUUAUAAUGAACCCACUCUUAUGG